GCCGAAGUGGCGGAAUUGGUAGACGCGCCAGGUUCAGGGUCUGGUGGGGGUUCCCUCGUGGAAGUUCGAGUCUUCUCUUCGGCACCA
This 87-nucleotide transfer RNA is filed under the name Desulfobulbaceae bacterium. RNAcentral's name for it is "tRNA-Leu". It matches the Rfam family "tRNA". Rfam says of the family: Transfer RNA (tRNA) molecules are approximately 80 nucleotides in length. Their secondary structure includes four short double-helical elements and three loops (D, anti-codon, and T loops). Lineage: Bacteria; Pseudomonadati; Thermodesulfobacteriota; Desulfobulbia; Desulfobulbales; Desulfobulbaceae. The record is from RNAcentral.